RNAcentral lists this ribosomal RNA (254 nucleotides) under uncultured bacterium. RNAcentral's name for it is "partial 16S ribosomal RNA". It matches the Rfam family "Bacterial small subunit ribosomal RNA", at positions 524 to 776 of the family's 1533-position model. The record is from RNAcentral.
UACGUAGGUGGCAAGCGUUGUUCGGAAUUAUUGGGCGUAAAGGGCGCGUAGGCGGUUUGUUAAGUCAGCUGUGAAAUCUCCGAGCUUAACUCGGAACUGUCAGCUGAUACUGAUGUGCUAGAGUGCGGAAGGGGCAAUCGGAAUUCUUGGUGUAGCGGUGAAAUGCGUAGAUAUCAAGAGGAACACCUGAGGUGAAGACGGGUUGCUGGGCCGACACUGACGCUGAGUGCGCGAAAGCCAGGGGAGCAAACGGG